This 506-nucleotide ribosomal RNA is filed under the name uncultured bacterium. RNAcentral's name for it is "partial 16S ribosomal RNA". It matches the Rfam family "Bacterial small subunit ribosomal RNA", at positions 28 to 523 of the family's 1533-position model. The record is from RNAcentral.
GAUGAACGCUAGCUACAGGCUUAACACAUGCAAGUCGAGGGGUAACAAGAGAAAAGCUUGCUUUUCUUGUUGACGACCGGCGCACGGGUGAGUAACGCGUAUCCAACCUGCCCAUAACUAGGGAAUAACCUUGCGAAAGUAAGACUAAUACCCUAUAAUUUCCUUUGAAGGCAUCGGAUUAGGAAUAAAGAUUUAUCGGUUAUGGAUGGGGAUGCGUCUGAUUAGCUUGUUGGCGGGGUAACGGCCCACCAAGGCAACGAUCAGUAGGGGUUCUGAGAGGAAGGUCCCCCACAUUGGAACUGAGACACGGUCCAAACUCCUACGGGAGGCAGCAGUGAGGAAUACUGGUCAAUGGGCGGAAGCCUGAACCAGCCAAGUAGCGUGCAGGAUGACGGCCCUAUGGGUUGUAAACUGCUUUUAUACAGGAAUAAAGUUAGCCACGUGUGGUUAUUUGUAGGUACUGUAUGAAUAAGGACCGGCUAAUUCCGUGCCAGCAGCCGCCGUAA